RNAcentral lists this ribosomal RNA (425 nucleotides) under uncultured Acidobacterium sp. RNAcentral's name for it is "bacterial SSU rRNA". It matches the Rfam family "Bacterial small subunit ribosomal RNA", at positions 958 to 1385 of the family's 1533-position model. Lineage: Bacteria; Pseudomonadati; Acidobacteriota; Terriglobia; Terriglobales; Acidobacteriaceae. The record is from RNAcentral.
AACGCGAAGAACCUUACCUGGGCUCGAAGUGCAGUGCAUCGGGGUAGAAAUAUCCCUUCCCGCAAGGGGUGCUGCAUAGGUGCUGCAUGGCUGUCGUCAGCUCGUGUCGUGAGAUGUUGGGUUAAGUCCCGCAACGAGCGCAACCCUUAUUGCCAGUUGCCAUCAUUAAGUUGGGCACUCUGGCGAAACUGCCCCGGAUAACGGGGAGGAAGGUGGGGAUGACGUCAAGUCCUCAUGGCCUUUAUGUCCAGGGCUACACACGUGCUACAAUGGCCGGUACAAACCGUCGCAAACCCGCGAGGGGGAGCUAAUCGGAAAAAGCCGGUCUCAGUCCGGAUUGGAGUCUGCAACUCGACUCCAUGAAGCUGGAAUCGCUAGUAAUCGCGGAUCAGCACGCCGCGGUGAAUACGUUCCCGGGCCUUGUA